Molecule: non-coding RNA, 117 nt
Filed under: Schnuerera ultunensis
Lineage: Bacteria; Bacillati; Bacillota; Tissierellia; Tissierellales; Tepidimicrobiaceae
Also listed under: 1 other name
Description: Clostridium ultunense SAM-I sequence
Rfam family: SAM riboswitch aptamer (S box leader)
About the family: The SAM riboswitch is found upstream of a number of genes which code for proteins involved in methionine or cysteine biosynthesis in Gram-positive bacteria. The SAM riboswitch acts at the level of transcription termination control.
Source: RNAcentral
UUCUUAUCCAGAGUGGUGGAGGGACUGGCCCGAUGAAACCCGGCAACCGUUCUUGGCGAAGCCAAGAAAAGGUGCCAAUUCCUGCAAGGCGGAAAGACCUGUCUUGAGAGAUAAGAA